UACAGAGGUCUCAAGCGUUGUUCGGAUUCAUUGGGCGUAAAGGGUGCGUAGGCGGUAGAGUAAGUUGGAUGUGAAAUCCCGGGGCUUAACCCCGGAACUGCAUUCAAUACUGCUUUGCUAGAGUACUGGAGAGGAGAUUGGAAUUCACGGUGUAGCAGUGAAAUGCGUAGAUAUCGUGAGGAAGACCAGUGGCGAAGGCGAAUCUCUGGACAGUUACUGACGCUGAGGCACGAAGGCCAGGGGAGCAAACGGG
Molecule: ribosomal RNA, 253 nt
Filed under: uncultured bacterium
Lineage: Bacteria
Description: partial 16S ribosomal RNA
Rfam family: Bacterial small subunit ribosomal RNA
Source: RNAcentral